RNAcentral lists this unclassified non-coding RNA (334 nucleotides) under soil metagenome. RNAcentral's name for it is "partial contains 5.8S ribosomal RNA, internal transcribed spacer 2, and large subunit ribosomal RNA". The stretch from base 2 to 120 matches the Rfam family "5.8S ribosomal RNA", at positions 36 to 154 of the family's 154-position model. The record is from RNAcentral.
UAUGAAGAACGUAGCGAAAUGCGAUAAGUAAUGUGAAUUGCAGAAUUCAGUGAAUCAUCGAAUCUUUGAACGCACAUUGCGCCCGCCAGUAUUCUGGCGGGCAUGCCUGUUCGAGCGUCAUUUCAACCAUCAAGCCCCCGGCUUGUGUUGGGGACCUGCGGCUGCCGCAGGCCCUGAAAACCAGUGGCGGGCUCGCUAGUCACUCCGAGCGUAGUAAUACAUCUCGCUCAGGGCGUGCUGCGGGUUCCGGCCGUUAAAAAGCCUUAUUUACCCAAGGUUGACCUCGGAUCAGGUAGGAAGACCCGCUGAACUUAAGCAUAUCAAUAAGCGGAGA